This 101-nucleotide ribosomal RNA is filed under the name Hordeum secalinum. The record is from RNAcentral. Lineage: Eukaryota; Viridiplantae; Streptophyta; Magnoliopsida; Poales; Poaceae.
GGAUGCGAUCAUACCAGCACUAAAGCACCCGAAGUUAAGCGUGCUUGGUUGAGAGUAGUACUAGGAUGGGUGACUCUUGGGAAGUCCUCGUGUUGCAUUCC